CCUACGGGCGGCAGCAGUGGGGAAUAUUGGACAAUGGGGGGAACCCUGAUCCAGCCAUGCCGCGUGUGUGAAGAAGGCCCUCGGGUUGUAAAGCACUUUCAGUGAGGAAGAACGCCUGGUGGUUAAUACCCAUCAGGAAAGACAUCACUCACAGAAGAAGCACCGGCUAACUCCGUGCCAGCAGCCGCGGCAAUACGGAGGGUGCGAGCGUUAAUCGGAAUUACUGGGCGUAAAGCGCGCGUAGGUGGCUUGAUAAGCCGGUUGUGAAAGCCCCGGGCUCAACCUGGGAACGGCAUCCGGAACUGUCAAGCUAGAGUGCAGGAGAGGAAGGUAGAAGUCCCGGUGUAGCGGUGAAAUGCGUAGAGAUCGGGAGGAAUACCAGUGGCGAAGGCGGCCUUCUGGACUGACACUGACACUGAGGUGUGAAAGCGUGGAUAGCAAACAGGAUUAGAUACCCCAGUAGUC
This 465-nucleotide ribosomal RNA is filed under the name Vreelandella stevensii. Its description in RNAcentral is "partial 16S ribosomal RNA". It matches the Rfam family "Bacterial small subunit ribosomal RNA", at positions 338 to 795 of the family's 1533-position model. The record is from RNAcentral. Lineage: Bacteria; Pseudomonadati; Pseudomonadota; Gammaproteobacteria; Oceanospirillales; Halomonadaceae.